This 507-nucleotide ribosomal RNA is filed under the name uncultured Pseudomonas sp. Its description in RNAcentral is "bacterial SSU rRNA". It matches the Rfam family "Bacterial small subunit ribosomal RNA", at positions 1 to 501 of the family's 1533-position model. The record is from RNAcentral. Lineage: Bacteria; Pseudomonadati; Pseudomonadota; Gammaproteobacteria; Pseudomonadales; Pseudomonadaceae.
AGAGUUUUAGAGUUUGGUCCUGGCUCAGAUUGUACUCUGGCGGCAGGCCUAACACAUGCAUGUCGAGCGGUAGAGAGGUGCUUGCACCUCUUGAGAGCGGCGGACGGGUGAGUAAUGCCUAGGAAUCUGCCUGGUAGUGGGGGAUAACGUUCGGAAACGAACGCUAAUACCGCAUACGUCCUACGGGAGAAAGCAGGGGACCUUCGGGCCUUGCGCUAUCAGAUGAGCCUAGGUCGGAUUAGCUAGUUGGUGAGGUAAUGGCUCACCAAGGCGACGAUCCGUAACUGGUCUGAGAGGAUGAUCAGUCACACUGGAACUGAGACACGGUCCAGACUCCUACGGGAGGCAGCAGUGGGGAAUAUUGGACAAUGGGCGAAAGCCUGAUCCAGCCAUGCCGCGUGUGUGAAGAAGGUCUUCGGAUUGUAAAGCACUUUAAGUUGGGAGGAAGGGCAUUAACUUAAUACUUUACGUAUUUUGACGUUACCGACAGAAUAAGCACCGUCUAAC